CGUGUAGGCGGUUUGGCAAGUCAGAUGUGAAAGCCCUGGGCUCAACUCAGGAAGUGCAUUUGAAACUGCCAUUCUAGAGUAUGGGAGAGGAGAGUGGAAUUCCCAGUGUAGAGGUGAAAUUCGUAGAUAUUGGGAGGAACACCCGUGGCGAAGGCGACUCUCUGGACCAAUACUGACGCUGAGACGCGAAAGCGUGGGGAGCAAACA
RNAcentral lists this ribosomal RNA (207 nucleotides) under uncultured bacterium. Its description in RNAcentral is "partial 16S ribosomal RNA". It matches the Rfam family "Bacterial small subunit ribosomal RNA", at positions 568 to 774 of the family's 1533-position model. The record is from RNAcentral.